This 205-nucleotide unclassified non-coding RNA is filed under the name plant metagenome. Its description in RNAcentral is "partial contains small subunit ribosomal RNA, internal transcribed spacer 1, and 5.8S ribosomal RNA". The record is from RNAcentral.
GUAGGUGAACCUGCGGAAGGAUCAUUAAUAACGCCCCGUUUUUGUCGCAAGAUUUAAAUGGGUUCAAUACCCAAAACCGUGUCUACCUACCUUUGUUGCUUUGGCAGGCCGCCUUCGGGCGUCGGCUUCGGCUGAUUAGCGCUUGCCAGAGGCCCAAAACUCUGUGUUUAGUGAUGUCUGAGUACUAUAAAAUAUUUAAAACUUU